RNAcentral lists this ribosomal RNA (254 nucleotides) under uncultured bacterium. Its description in RNAcentral is "partial 16S ribosomal RNA". It matches the Rfam family "Bacterial small subunit ribosomal RNA", at positions 524 to 776 of the family's 1533-position model. The record is from RNAcentral.
UACGUAGGGUGCGAGCGUUAAUCGGAAUUACUGGGCGUAAAGCGUGCGCAGGCGGUUAUAUAAGACAGUUGUGAAAUCCCCGGGCUCAACCUGGGAAUUGCAUCUGUGACUGUAUAGCUAGAGUACGGUAGAGGGGGGAUGGAAUUCCGCGUGUAGCAGUGAAAUGCGUAGAUAUGCGGAGGAACACCGAUGGCGAAGGCAAUCCCCUGGACCUGUACUGACGCUCAUGCACGAAAGCGUGGGGAGCAAACAGG